This 490-nucleotide ribosomal RNA is filed under the name uncultured bacterium. RNAcentral describes it as "bacterial SSU rRNA". It matches the Rfam family "Bacterial small subunit ribosomal RNA", at positions 28 to 507 of the family's 1533-position model. The record is from RNAcentral.
GAUGAACGCUAGCUACAGGCUUAACACAUGCAAGUCGAGGGGAAACGACAUCGAAGCUUGCUUUUGGUGGGCGUCGACCGGCGCACGGGUGAGUAACGCGUAUCCAACUACCCUUUACUCGGGAACAGCCUUGCGAAAGCAAGAUUAAUGCCCGAUGUUCCGCGUUUGCCGCAUGGCAAAUUCGGCAAAGAUUUAUUGGUAAAGGAUGGCGAUGCGUCCCAUUAGUUAGUUGGCGGGGUAACGGCCCACCAAGACGACGAUGGGUAGGGGUUCUGAGAGGAAGACCCCCCACACUGGAACUGAGACACGGUCCAAACUCCUACGGGAGGCAGCAGUGAGGAAUAUUGGUCAAUGGGCGAGAGCCUGAACCAGCCAAGUAGCGUGCAGGAUGACGGCCCUAUGGGUUGUAAACUGCUUUUAUAAGGGAAUAAAGUGAGUCUCGUGAGACUUUUUGCAUGUACCUUAUGAAUAAGGACCGGCUAAUUCCGUG